ACCUUCGUGGUGUAGCGAUCAACACGCUCGACGCGUAUUCGAGAGGUCCGUGGUUCGAAUCACAGCGAGGGCA
This 73-nucleotide transfer RNA is filed under the name Stegodyphus mimosarum. It matches the Rfam family "tRNA". From Rfam's summary of the family: Transfer RNA (tRNA) molecules are approximately 80 nucleotides in length. Their secondary structure includes four short double-helical elements and three loops (D, anti-codon, and T loops). The record is from Rfam by way of RNAcentral. Lineage: Eukaryota; Metazoa; Arthropoda; Arachnida; Araneae; Eresidae.